CGAUAAGAAUACGCUUCGCCCGAGACAGCAGGUGCGUGAAAAUCGCUUAAUUACCUGCCGAGGUGAGGAUAUCUCCAGAAAUAAUGAACCCGCACUUAGCGGGUGAAGCAAUUAUGAGCGGAGAGUCUUUGCCAGGCACUGGUUGCGAGGCAAAGACUUUUUAUUUGGAAAG
Non-coding RNA from Chloroflexi bacterium RBG_19FT_COMBO_50_10, 172 nucleotides. NCBI's taxonomy places the organism in Bacteria, Bacillati, Chloroflexota. The record is from Rfam.